CAGGGAAUAUUGCACAAUGGGCGCAAGCCUGAUGCAGCGACGCCGCGUGAGGGAUGACGGCCUUCGGGUUGUAAACCUCUUUCAGGAGGGACGAAGCGAAAGUGACGGUACCUCCAGAAGAAGCCCCGGCCAACUACGUGCCAGCAGCCGCGGUAAUACGUAGGGGGCGAGCGUUGUCCGGAUUCAUUGGGCGUAAAGAGCUCGUAGGCGGCUCAGCAAGUCGGCCGUGAAAGCCCGAGGCUCAACCUCGGGAGGCCGGUCGAAACUGCUGUGGCUAGGGUCCGGUAGAGGAGAGUGGAAUUCCCGGUGUAGCGGUGAAAUGCGCAGAUAUCGGGAGGAACACCAGUAGCGAAGGCGGCUCUCUGGGCCGGUACCGACGCUGAGGAGCGAAAGCUAGGGGAGCAAACAGGAUUAGAUACCCCCGUAGUCC
Molecule: ribosomal RNA, 430 nt
Filed under: uncultured prokaryote
Description: bacterial SSU rRNA
Rfam family: Bacterial small subunit ribosomal RNA
Source: RNAcentral